GGCGAGAUGGCCGAGUGGUCUAAGGCGCCGUGUUCAGGCUCUCAACGUGCUUCGCGGUCCUCCGGGGCGUGGGUUCGAAUCCCACUCUCGUCA
This is a non-coding RNA of Clavulina sp. PMI_390, 93 nucleotides long. NCBI's taxonomy places the organism in Eukaryota, Fungi, Basidiomycota, Agaricomycetes, Cantharellales, Hydnaceae. The record is from the annotation of a GenBank genome assembly.